Molecule: non-coding RNA, 85 nt
Organism: Paramuricea clavata
Lineage: Eukaryota; Metazoa; Cnidaria; Anthozoa; Malacalcyonacea; Plexauridae
Source: the annotation of a GenBank genome assembly
GAUUACAUGACAAAAUUUUUAACCCAGGGCUGAGUUCAACCCCGGGGUUGAACUCAGCCCUGGGUUGAAAAUUUUGUCAUGUAAU